GGGGUUGACGGUACCCUACUAGAAAGGAGCCGCUAACUUCGUGCCAGAAGCGUCGGUAAUACGGGGGCUCCAAGCGUUAUCCGGUGUUAUUGGGCGUAAAGAGUCGUGUAGGUGGUUGGGUAAGUUAUCUUUCAAAUAUCUUUGCUUAACAAAGAGGAGGGGGAUAAUACUGCUCGACUAGAAUUUUCUCAAGGGAGAUCGGAACUGAGGGAGGAGUAGUGAAAUGCGUUGAUACCCUCGGGAACACCAGUGGCGUAGGCGGAUCUCUGGGAGAAGAUUGACACUGAGACACGAAAGCUAGGGGAGCGAAGCAGAUUAGAGACCUGCGUAGUCCUAGCCGUAAACGCAUGCUUGCUAGCUGCAUGAAUCUACCUUCGGGUGGUAUCGUGUGGCGAAGGUAACCCGUUAAGCAAGCCGCCUGGAAAGUACGGCCGCAAGGCUGAAAUUCAAAGGAAUUGGCGGGGAGGCACACAACCAGUGGAACAUGUGGUUUAAUUCGAGACUAACCGAAGAACCUCACCAGGGUUUGACAUGUAGCUGCACGUCUUAAGAAAUUAAGACUCUCUUGAAGGUGCUACACAGGUGCUGCAUGGCUGUCGUCAGCUCGUUCCGUGAGGAGUGCCCUUAAGUGGGACAACGAGCGCAACCCCUAUUACAUGUUAGAAAUGUCAUGUAAGACUGCCUUGCCAUUUGGCGGGGAGGAAGGAGGGGCAGACGUCAAGUCCGCAUGGUCCUUAUGCCCUGGGCUACACACAUGUUACAAUGAGUACGGCAAUGAGUCUGUCGCGAGCACGUAAGUGUAAGCUAAUCUCUUAAAUGUACUCUCAGUGGGGAUUGAGGUCUGCAACUCGACCUCAUGAACACGGAAUUGGUAGUAAUCGCGGGUCAGCUAUACCGCGGUGAUACGUUCUUGCCUCUUGCGCACACCGCCCGUCAAACCAGCAAAGUCGAUUGUAUCCGAACCUCUCUUUU
RNAcentral lists this ribosomal RNA (972 nucleotides) under uncultured organism. RNAcentral describes it as "bacterial SSU rRNA". It matches the Rfam family "Bacterial small subunit ribosomal RNA", at positions 465 to 1435 of the family's 1533-position model. The record is from RNAcentral.